This 483-nucleotide ribosomal RNA is filed under the name uncultured bacterium. Its description in RNAcentral is "partial 16S ribosomal RNA". It matches the Rfam family "Bacterial small subunit ribosomal RNA", at positions 30 to 507 of the family's 1533-position model. The record is from RNAcentral.
UUGAACGCUGGCGGCAGGCCUAACACAUGCAAGUCGCGCGGAUGAAGGGAGCUUGCUCCUGGACUCAGCGGCGGACGGGUGAGUAAUGCCUAGGAAUCUGCCUGGUAGUGGGGGAUAACGUCCGGAAACGGGCGCUAAUACCGCAUACGACCUGAGGGAGAAAGUGGGGGAUCUUCGGACCUCACGCUAUCAGAUGAGCCUAGGUCGGAUUAGCUAGUUGGUGGGGUAAAGGCCUACCAAGGCGACGAUCCGUAACUGGUCUGAGAGGAUGAUCAGUCACACUGGAACUGAGACACGGUCCAGACUCCUACGGGAGGCAGCAGUGGGGAAUAUUGGACAAUGGGCGAAAGCCUGAUCCAGCCAUGCCGCGUGUGUGAAGAAGGUCUUCGGAUUGUAAAGCACUUUAAGUUGGGAGGAAGGGCAGUAAGUUAAUACCUUGCUGUUUUGACGUUACCAACAGAAUAAGCACCGGCUAACUUCGUG